CCUGAACGCUGGCGGCGUGGCUAAGACAUGCAAGUCGCACGGAGGUAGCAAUACCUCAGUGGCGAACGGGUGAGUAAUGAAUCGCUAAUGUGCCCCGGACCCUGAGAUAGCUGGCCGAAAGGCCAGGUAAUAUCAGAUGAUAUAACCGAACCGCAUGGUUUGGUUCUCAAAGGUCCGCCGGUCUGGGAGCAGGCGAUUUCGUAUCAGCUAGUUGGUGAGGAACGGCUCACCAAGGCGACGACGCGUAGCCGGACUGAGAGGUUGGCCGGCCACAUUGGGACUGAGACACUGCCCAGACUCCUACGGGGGGCUGCAGUAACGAAUCUUCCGCAAUGCACGCAAGUGUGACGGAGCGACGCCGCGUGUAGGACGAAGCCCUUCGGGGUGUAAACUACUGUCAGGGGUUAGAAAGUUCUGAUCAACCCCAGAGGAAGGGACGGCUAACUCUGUGCCAGCAGCCGCAGUAAC
Molecule: ribosomal RNA, 468 nt
Filed under: uncultured bacterium
Lineage: Bacteria
Description: bacterial SSU rRNA
Rfam family: Bacterial small subunit ribosomal RNA
Source: RNAcentral